This 240-nucleotide ribosomal RNA is filed under the name uncultured bacterium. RNAcentral describes it as "partial 16S ribosomal RNA". It matches the Rfam family "Bacterial small subunit ribosomal RNA", at positions 931 to 1167 of the family's 1533-position model. The record is from RNAcentral.
GCGGAGGGAACAUGUGGUUUAAUUCGAUGAUACGCGAGGAACCUUACCCGGGCUUGAACUGCAGGAGAACGAUUCAGAGAUGAUGAGGUCCUUCGGGACUCCUGUGGAGGUGCUGCAUGGUUGUCGUCAGGCUCGUGCCGUGAGGUGUCGGCUUAAGUGCCAUAACGAGCGCAACCCCUCUCCGUAGUUGCCAUCGGGUGAUGCCGGGCACUCUGCGGACACUGCCACCGUAAGGUGUGA